UACGUAGGGUGCAGGCGUUAAUCGGAAUUACUGGGCGUAAAGCGCAUGUAGGCGGCAGCGCAAGUCGGGCGUGAAAUCCCACGGCUCAACCGUGGAAGUGCACUCGAAACUGCGCAGCUAGAGUCCUGGAGAGGAAGGUGGAAUGCUUGGUGUAGAGGUGAAAUUCGUAGAUAUCAAGCGGAACACCGGUGGCGAAGGCGGCCUUCUGGACAGUGACUGACGCUGAGAUGCGAAAGCGUGGGGAGCAAACAGG
Molecule: ribosomal RNA, 253 nt
Filed under: uncultured bacterium
Lineage: Bacteria
Description: partial 16S ribosomal RNA
Rfam family: Bacterial small subunit ribosomal RNA
Source: RNAcentral